Molecule: long non-coding RNA, 3598 nt
Filed under: Nicotiana benthamiana
Lineage: Eukaryota; Viridiplantae; Streptophyta; Magnoliopsida; Solanales; Solanaceae
Description: long non-coding RNA (NBEN_LNC010212)
Source: RNAcentral
AAGGGUCCACAAUCAUAUUUAAGACAUGGAAAUGCUGAAAGUUUACCCCAUUUCCCCCAAUAAUUCUUUUCUCCUUCCUCUCUCUUCUCUCCCUAUUCUCUUCCCCUAAUCUAGCCACCCGCCACCCAUCUUUGCCGGCCAAAAAUCGUUGUCCCCACUGGCCGGUGUCCAAACCACCCCAAAAUCGUACUAUACAAUCACCUUAACCUCCUCUUUCAAAAUUUCCAACCCAAAUCCCUCAAAACUCGCUCAGAUUCCAUGAUUUUUAGAUCUAUAAAACCUUAGCCACAUCCCUUUUUGCCCAAAUUCGUGAAGCUCCGACCAGCACCACCAUACCAUACAUACAUGAAUGGAUAGAGCGUCUUCUACUCUAUCUUUUCCCACCAGUUUGACCCUGAACUCCAACCACCGGAAUCUAAUGACCUUUCAGGCGACUACCCCUGACCGCUGCAACUGCCUCUCCUUUUUGCCUCUGGCCUCCCGUAGGUUUAUACUAUAGAUAAUACCAAAAUAAUAUUACGGUUCAUCGGAAUUUAUGGCUUUGGUGUAUAUCAACAAUAAAAACACACCCGAGCUCGAACCACUGCCUAUCAUUAUUGUUUGCCAUUGCCCGGGUACUCGAGUUUGGUAAAAUUCCUAAUCCCUUCUCUUUGACUUAAAUUUUCUGUUUUUCUUAUUUGAUUUGUUGGUUUGUUUAGGUUAAAGUUCUGGUAAUGAUCUAUCCACUAUUUUGUAUAGUAUUAUUUCUAAUUUUGACGCUGGUUUAGUUUUGUUGUGAUUAACAACUUGACUAUAAUACGUGUUUUUCCUAAUCAUAGAUUUUUAUCUUUUCCCUUGGAUUGAUCAUAUAAACAUUAGUUUGAUUGGCUAAGUUGAAUGCUGAAUUUUCUGCUUUUACAUUGGUUUGAAUUGGUUAGUUUGUGAAUGAUAAAAGGUAAAUGAUGAAGUAGAGUACAUGUUUGGUUUCUUUUACUAUGUUGGAGUUGUUGGGAGUACAUCUACUCCUUGCUUGUGUCUGAAAUUGGAGAAGAGGACAGUCUUUUCUCACUCAUUUGGAUAAAUUUUUGUUUUAACUCAUAGUAUAAUCCCUAUGGCCUUCCUCUCCUACAAAAGAAGGGUCUUUAUUCACUUUAAUAGGAGGGGAGGAAAAACUUUCAGCAACUAUGUUCCUCUUGGAAAUAAUUUAGAAAAGUCUUUAGGUUCUCUUUUCUAUUAAAGAGUUUCUGGGUUCUAGUGUUUUAAGUUUUCUGUUGUUUGUUGUACGUUGGCUGCUUGUUACUGAUUUUUCAUAGCUGGGUUUCCAAAAGUUUUGUGCAACUUUGAGUUCACCAUCGCUGCUUUUGCUUUGAAUAUGCAAUCUAGGUAUAUGCUUGACCUUCUAAUUUAGAAACUUUAUUGUAAUGAAUUAUAUUAAGCAAAUUUUUGGUCCAAUAAAUGAAGCAUGAAGUUUAUAGAGUUUAUUUGAGUGUUUCGGGCUCUUUUAAUAUCUAUCUCAUGUUUACAAAUGUUUGAUAUGUCCAUUGUGUUAGAAUGGUACAUUUAUGUGUACAUUUGUUCGGAUUUUGAAGAUUGUAAUAUUCCAUUUAGUAUAGUAAUUGCUCGACAAGAUUCUUUCUCCUGAAAAUUCUCACUAAAAUUAUAUAAUUACAUGAAAAAUAAAAGUGAACUUCUAUUCUCAAGGAUCCCUGUCUUUACUUACUUUUCUUUUUUACUUCAUGCGCUUAAUCCAUUCAAAAGGAUUUAAGUUCUAAGAUAGUUUGUUGAGUAUUUAGAUUAAGAAAAAAUAAUAAAUAAAUUCUCAUGUCAUGAUGUUAUGGUUAUUUUAUGUCUACUUAUAAUAUUUUGCAGGAAAGUUCACCGUGAUUGUCAUCAAUUAGGUCUAACUUUAACUAGAAGAUAUUUGUGAAAUAUCUCGCCAUGGUUUUGUUGAUAGUAUUAGUUAACUCAUGAAAUUUUUUUUUUACUUUAAACUUAAUAGUAAUUCAAAUACAAAAUAAAAAGAGAGAGGAAACAAUGGGAAAUUAUUUUGUUGCACUUUGGGAAUGAAAGUGAGUUUUAAAGUGACUGGGAGCUUUUGAGCUAAUUGAGCUAAGUUAAUGAACUUGAACCCGCCAAGCAGAAAAUAGUGAGAUAGUUGGCCCCAAUUCUAAAUGCAAGGAGCUUGUUUAUCUACCACUUUAGUAUAAACACAUUUAUUCAUUUUAACUGAAGAAAAAUUAUCUCUUAGUAAGACUUGUUUAAAUUUCUUAUAUUACUGCGUAGGAGCUUGUUUAAGGCCAUAAAGAGAUUUAAUUAAAUUACAAACUUUAUUUUUUUGUCCAGGAAUAACACAGCCUUCAGGUUGAACCAUAUAAAUCUCUUCUUCUAAAUCACCAUUCAAAAAAGCAUUUUUGACAUCCAUUUGGUGGAUAAAAAACUUAAGGAUUGAAGGUAAGGCAAUUAAAACUCGAAUAGAAGAAAUUCUAGUCACUAGUGCAAAUGUAUUAAAAUAGUCUAUAUUUUGUUUUUGAGAAAAUCCUUUUGCUACAAACCGAGCUUUAUAUUUAUCUAAAGAUCCAUCGGGAUUAAAUUUCUUUUUGAAAAUCCAUUUACAACCAAUAGGCUUUGCACCAGGAGGUAAUUCAGUCAAAAUCUAUGUGUUAUUUUUCUUAACAUAAUCAGUUUCAACUUUUAUUGCCUCUUUCCAAUAUUUAGCAUCUGAAGAAGAUAUAACUUCAAAAAUUUGAUGGUUCAUUAUCGACAAGAAAAGUUUGAAAAUCGUUUUCAUAAGAAAAAUAUUCUUUCCUAGGCCUUGUACUUCUUCUCAGUUCCACAUUAGAGAUAAUUUCACUAUUUGUUUUAACAGGUGUAUGAGAAAUUUUAUCAGAUAGCGGAAACAUAUGUUCAAACAAUUCUGCAUUCUUUGCGCGAUCAAGCACAUCACUUUUUAAAACAAGAAAUCUAUAUGCAGCACUAUGUUCAACAUAUCCAAUAAGCAUGUGGUCAGCAGUUUUAGAACCUAUUUUUCUCUUUUUAGGUUCAGGCAAAAGAACUUUAGCAAGGCACCCCCACACUUUUAAAUAUUUCAAACUAGGUUUAUAGCCCCUCCAUAAUUCAUAUGGAGUUUUGUCAGUUCUUCUUUGUGGUAUUCUAUUUUGUAAGUGACAUGCAAAUAAAAUAGCUUCACCCCACAAGUUAUCAGGAGCGUUAGAACUAACUAAUAUAGAGUUCAUCAUCUCUUUCAAUGUUUUAUUUUCCCUUUUAGCUACUCCAUUUGACUCAGGUAAAUAAGGCGGAGUUACUUCAUGAAUAACUCCAUUGUUUUCACAAAAUUUUAUUUAAAGAUAUAUAUUCUCCACCUCUAUCUGAUCUAAUUCUUUUGAUUUUUCUACUAAGUUGAUUUUCAACCUCAGUUUUAUAAGAAAUAAAAGCAUUAAAAGCACCAUAUUUACUUCUAAGCAAAUACAACUUAGUAUAUCUAGAAAAAUCAUCAAUAAAAAUCAUAUAAUAUCUUUUACCACCUCUAGUCAUAGUCUGCUUUAAGUCGCCUAAAUCAGCGUAAAUUAAAGAUAACAAUUCAGUUUCUCUGUUUACGGAAAAACGGGUAUUUCUAGUACUU